This 573-nucleotide ribosomal RNA is filed under the name uncultured beta proteobacterium. RNAcentral's name for it is "bacterial SSU rRNA". It matches the Rfam family "Bacterial small subunit ribosomal RNA", at positions 790 to 1368 of the family's 1533-position model. Lineage: Bacteria; Pseudomonadati; Pseudomonadota; Betaproteobacteria. The record is from RNAcentral.
GUAGUCCACGCCCUAAACGAUGUCAACUGGGUGUUGGGGAAGCGAUUCCUCAGUACCGUAGCUAACGCGUGAAGUUGACCGCCUGGGGAGUACGGCCGCAAGGUUAAAACUCAAAGGAAUUGACGGGGACCCGCACAAGCGGUGGAUGAUGUGGAUUAAUUCGAUGCAACGCGAACAACCUUACCUACCCUUGACAUGUCCGGAAGCCCGCUGAGAGGCGGGCGUGCCCGAAAGGGAAUCGGAACACAGGUGCUGCAUGGCUGUCGUCAGCUCGUGUCGUGAGAUGUUGGGUUAAGUCCCGCAACGAGCGCAACCCUUGUCCCUAGUUGCUACGCAAGGGCACUCUAGGGAGACUGCCGGUGACAAACCGGAGGAAGGUGGGGAUGACGUCAAGUCCUCAUGGCCCUUAUGGGUAGGGCUUCACACGUCAUACAAUGGCCGGUACAGAGGGUUGCCAACCCGCGAGGGGGAGCCAAUCCCAGAAAGCCGGUCGUAGUCCGGAUUGCAGUCUGCAACUCGACUGCAUGAAGUCGGAAUCGCUAGUAAUCGCGGAUCAGCAUGCCGCGGUGAAUA